This 610-nucleotide ribosomal RNA is filed under the name uncultured fungus. RNAcentral describes it as "eukaryotic LSU rRNA". The stretch from base 202 to 356 matches the Rfam family "5.8S ribosomal RNA". The record is from RNAcentral. Lineage: Eukaryota; Fungi.
AAGUCGUAACAAGGUUUCCGUAGGUGAACCUGCGGAAGGAUCAUUGCCGAUUUAUCAUCUGGGGGGGGGGGAGAGUCCUCUCUCUCCCCGACCGACACCUCCGUGCACUCUGGGAGGGCGCCCGAAAGGGAGGCCCCUCCCGUCUUUGACGAACGCCUCGUAGUCUCGCGCGUGUCAGAUAUAAAUUAAAAAUUGAAACACAACUUUCAACAACGGAUCUCUUGGCUUUCGCAUCGAUGAAGAACGCCGCGAACGCGCGAAACGUAAUGUGAAUUGCAGAAUUCAGUGAAUCAUCGAAUCUUUGAACGCACCUUGCGCUCCUCGGUAUUCCGAGGAGCAUGCCUGUUUGAGUGUCGUGAAGUCUUAUCGAAAAGGGGAGGGCUUUUUCGGCCCUCCUCUUUUCGGACUUGGACGGUCUUGCCCUUGCCUGGUCGAAGGCUCGUCUUCAAAUUCAUCGGCGAGGUUCCGUCCCCUAACGCUUCCCCCGGUCUAGACGUGAUAAGUCUUUUGCGUCGUCCGCGGGGGGGUUCGUGCGGAAAAGGGACCCGUCACCGACUCUUUCAUUCAAACGCCUUGACCUCAAAUCAGGAAGAUUACCCGCUGAACUUAA